UUUCAAAGUGUUCUCUUCUCUGUGCUGUUCUAGAAAAAAGAAAAGAGAGAGAUUGUAAACUAAAUAAAUACUUCAGUCCUUAUUCAAUCAAACAAAUCCUUUAUGGCAGGUGUCUAAUGAGUUAUAAAUUUUUGGAAAUAGAUGAGGAGGCUAUAAUGGUUUCCAUCAGUGGAAACGCCAGAGUCUGUACUGUCACUGUUAUCAAGAGUGGGGCUAAAAUCUACGGAGAUUGUUUACUGCAACUUUAAAAUGAGUCCAUUUCACACAAACAAUUUCAGCCAAGUGUUCAGACUGACAUCUUCAAUUGCUGGUACAUGCAACACCCAAAAUAAUCAAGUAAAUGUUUUCAAUAUUAAACA
This 359-nucleotide long non-coding RNA is filed under the name Daphnia pulicaria. RNAcentral describes it as "uncharacterized LOC124350440, transcript variant X1". Lineage: Eukaryota; Metazoa; Arthropoda; Branchiopoda; Diplostraca; Daphniidae. The record is from RNAcentral.